AUGGUAUAAAAGCAGUAGAUUCGUGUUAGUAUUCACAACCAACUUUUAUUUUUGAGCUCGAAUAAUUUUAUAGGAUGUCACAAAUAAUGUAUUUGUUAAAAAUUGUUGUAAUUUUAUUAAUGGUAAGUAUCUCUUUAAUAUCAGGAAACACUAAGAUUGAAAUAUCUGAUAGUCAUAUGGAAAAACAUUCCAGUAGUGCAUCUGUAGUAACAACUCCUAUACGCUGCCCUACUACCCAUCAAAUGACAAGAUAUGGUUGUAAGGAAAGAGCUUACCUCGACAACCCACCGGUUUCAAAAUCUACAAAAGUGACUGAAGUUUCAUCAUAAAUAUUAUAUUAAUUUAUUUUAUAAAUUUUACAACAAGCUUCCUUUUCGUAAUUUUUAAAAAUAAAUACAAGUAUACCUAUUUAUUAGUAUCUCAAAUAAUGUUUAACUUAACAUGACAAUCAUUUCACUUUAUCCAAAGAAUUUUGUAAAUAUUUCCUGUGAGACAUUAUUUUGAUAAUCGAAAAAUGUUGAACAAAUAAAGUAGGUGUUUCGGACAAGGAAGGGUUUGGGACAAUAAACAGUCCUUUAAAUAUAAAAAAACAAACUUAAAUAGUUACUGAUUUACUUUUUUCCUUCUAAUGUUUACCCUGUAGAAAUUUGAUGUCUUUUUAUUCUAAUUACACUGCUUUAAUUCAAAUUCCAUUUAAAUCACGAACAGUAAACAAAAUUAAACAAUUUGAUAACCUACUACUCCUCUCCAAUGCACUAGAAUUAUUUGAAACGACGUAAUUACUGAGUGAUGUUGUUCCAAUUCUGCAUAAUUUUAAUAACAACCUUAUUUUUCCUUCCAUUUGUGCUGUCUUCAAAUAAUAUGACCUACGAGAGUAAAAGCACGAAUAGACGCAUUUUUGUUGCCCCCUGUCAGCCAGGAUAUAUUCGAAAAAACAAAGUUUGUAGGCCAUUAUGGCCAACCAACUGAAAAAUCGAAUUUUUUCCAUAAAUCUGAGAUACUUUAUUAAAGAAUUGCGCAUAGUCAACGAUAACCUUUAUUCUGUGUUUCUUAAUUUAUAAGUUUAGAAUCAUCAGUCUGUGAAAUGUCGCUUAAAGCUACUUUAAUAAAAGUUUCUCUACUUCUUGCAGUGCUGCGCUUUGUGCAUUGUUUACCCCUAAGUCCCGUAAUAGAAGGCGUAGUUAAUGAUGGUGUAAUUAGCUCCUCUAUCGGUUGUAAACCUGGUUAUGUCUACGUGCGUGGACUUUGCAAGGAACGAGCGAAAAAUGUUCAAGGCCAGGUUGAUAAAAAACACGCAGUCAGUGUAAUCAGUAAAAGUGUUAAUUAGUCUCAUUAUUUCUUAAAAAUUGUGUUUUUCAAUACUGUAUUUGAAAAUUUAUGUCAUUGCCAGUGGUAUUACUAAAAU
Molecule: long non-coding RNA, 1405 nt
Organism: Tribolium castaneum (red flour beetle)
Lineage: Eukaryota; Metazoa; Arthropoda; Insecta; Coleoptera; Tenebrionidae
Exons: 6
Source: RefSeq, a predicted model, not a curated record